GGACUUUACAUCAGGUUUUUUUAAGACAAACAGAAAAGGGAGAGGAGAAGCAAACAUAUUAAAACGGAAUGAUUGUUUUAUAAGUGUAUAUGUCAUCACUUGUAGCUGAUCUUGACCCAUCAUUUCUCCAGCCACUGAGCAACAAGGCUGUUGUAAGCCAGCGGAGCAGGACUGUGGUGAAUUUAGACAGGGCGUGAGAGAUUCUGCAGGGGCAGACUGAGGUUGCAUGUGGAGGAGUGCUUGUUUCUCAGCUUGAUCCCAGGGCAGAGAAAAGCUCCCUAAGGGAGUAGCCCCAGUGCUUUGGGUGGUUGGCUCAAAUAUAAACCAGGUUUCUUUUUCAGCCUCCUACUUGGUGAGUCAAUAUUUGCAAAAGUGUUGCAAAUAUCAUCCCAUCAAAACAUUAUUACUGUGUUCCUGUGGUCUUGCUUUUAUUGUUUGCUUAUUGUUUUUCUCUCCAGGUUUAUUAUAAGAUCUUUUAUUGGGCAGUUUCAACCUGGCAUAAAACAAUAUCUGCUAUGGAAAAUUCCCACACAGCCCUCCUGAUGUCCAGAACUGAUCAAAUAAACACUGAUCACUUAUCUUUUCUUUCACAGGAUUUCCCCAGUCCUACAGGGUCCGAGAGCAGACACUGCAGGUCUUCACCUAGUGAUGCACACGGCCAUGGUCCAGCCAGACUUUCCAUCUUUGAGAAAAUGCAACUGGAAAACCUGCCUCCAAUCAUUCCACUGAAGUCUUUUAUAAGGAAAUACUCAGACAGAUCCUCUUCCUGCUGAAGAAAAUAAAAAUGAUAUCUCAUGACAAACCUAAGUAUCUCUGCUAUGUAAAAUACGGCCAGUGCGGCCAACCCUGGUGAUGCACUGUU
RNAcentral lists this long non-coding RNA (862 nucleotides) under Chinchilla lanigera (long-tailed chinchilla). RNAcentral's name for it is "lncRNA (ENSCLAG00000024140.1)". The record is from RNAcentral. Lineage: Eukaryota; Metazoa; Chordata; Mammalia; Rodentia; Chinchillidae.